GAGGGUAUAGCUCAGUGGUAGAAUGCUUGCCUAGCAUGCAUGAGAUCCUGGGUUCAAUCCUCAGUACUUCCA
This 72-nucleotide transfer RNA is filed under the name Camelus bactrianus (Bactrian camel). It matches the Rfam family "tRNA". Rfam says of the family: Transfer RNA (tRNA) molecules are approximately 80 nucleotides in length. The record is from Rfam by way of RNAcentral. RNAcentral also lists the same sequence under 1 other name. Lineage: Eukaryota; Metazoa; Chordata; Mammalia; Artiodactyla; Camelidae.